GGACAUGGCAGCAUGCAUAUGCCCUUAACAGGUUCAAGCCAGAUGGGCUCACAGCACUGAGAUGGAGAACUGAACACAGGGGCCCACCCAGAGCCAAGAAACUAUUUGCAAUUGAUACCCACUGCCAAAGGGAAAAUCAGUUUUCUCUAAAGGAGUGUCAACCACACUCCAGGACAGACUCCAUUCCCAGGAGUUCACACAAAAUGGACUCCAAAGGCAACCCUUGUGAAAGGGUGACAACCCACAAGUUGAGAACAACAGCAUUAGAUGCAAGCAAGCUGUACUUUUGUGUUCGGACUGGACACUGCAACACCUUUGGGUCGAAACCACCGUCCGCCAUCCGCAAGACAUUUUUGGUGGAGCACAAAGGCUGACAUGCUGCUCCAAUAGGAUCUUCAGCCAGUUGGAAGCAUGAUCAACUUGCUCCCUCCUCCAUCCUUAGACAGUUCUUUCUGGAUCCCUUAGAAGGAAACUUAGAAGACUGAGUUGCAUUCACACUGGUGAGGAACUCUGUCUGAGAGUGUUCUUUCGCGGGCUCACAUUCAGUCAAUAUCUACUCAGUCAGAAACACGGUGCUGGAGCCUGAGCUACAGCUCAGUGGGUCAGCUCAUGCUCAGCAGGCUCGAGGCUCUGGCUCCACCCUCAGCGUCUUCACUAUCUCCUAAGGAGCAUCAUCAGAUACACCCAAGUUUGUGAUUGCACUUUAUCCAGCUCCAGUUCCUAUGCCUAAACAUUGGUAAUAUGAGGCGGAAAGUUCUAGAAACACAUAGUUCAUAAGGUUGAUUUUUUUUUAUUUGUUUUUAUGCAUUUGGGUGUUUUGCCUGAGUGUAUGUCUGUGUACAACGUGCAUGUAUGAUGCCUGAGGAGGCCAUAAAACGGUGUCAGAUCCCACAGGUAGUUGGUUGUGGGCAGCAG
Molecule: long non-coding RNA, 915 nt
Filed under: Cricetulus griseus (Chinese hamster)
Lineage: Eukaryota; Metazoa; Chordata; Mammalia; Rodentia; Cricetidae
Description: lncRNA (ENSCGRG00015036904.1)
Source: RNAcentral